RNAcentral lists this ribosomal RNA (301 nucleotides) under uncultured bacterium. Its description in RNAcentral is "partial 16S ribosomal RNA". It matches the Rfam family "Bacterial small subunit ribosomal RNA", at positions 509 to 808 of the family's 1533-position model. The record is from RNAcentral.
CAGUAGCCGCGGGAAUACGGAGGGGGCUAGCGUUGUUCGGAAUUACUGGGCGUAAAGCGUACGUAGGCGGCUUUGUAAGUUAGAGGUGAAAGCCUGGAGCUCAACACCAGAACUGCCUUUAAGACUGCAUCGCUUGAACGUCGGAGAGGUGAGUGGAAUUCCGAGUGUAGAGGUGAAAUUCGUAGAUAUUCGGAAGAACACCAGUGGCGAAGGCGGCUCACUGGACGACUGUUGACGCUGAGGUACGAAAGCGUGGGGAGCGAACAGGAUUAGAUACCCCCGUAGUCCCUGUCUCUAUACA